GGCAUUUCUCCGGUGACACACCCCAGAAUUGGGCUCCUUCCUUUCUGGUUCUGGGGUGCAUCACCCGAGGACUGCU
Molecule: non-coding RNA, 76 nt
Organism: Myotis lucifugus (little brown bat)
Lineage: Eukaryota; Metazoa; Chordata; Mammalia; Chiroptera; Vespertilionidae
Source: Rfam